UAUAACCCCAUGUGGGGCCCAUAUGGGAGGAUAGACUCCAAAAAAUCUUCUUCCAUCUUGUAUCAAAGCCACGUGCCUUUUCUUCCCUCCCACUCCUUUGUGUAUAAGUUUCACCAAGAUAGUACAAAUGAGGGUGUAACACCAUUCAUCAGCCAUUUCUUCUUGACCACUCUCUCACUCUAUAUCUCUCUAUCUCGGGUACACUCUAAACAACCAAGAAACCACCGAACACCCACUGCCAUCACUCUAUUUAACUGAAAAACCACCACCAAACACCUCCCAUUACUACCUUACUUCCGUUUGUGAAGUCCCUCAGCCCCCUUUACCUUCGAACUCACCAUUAAAAAAAAAAAAGCAAGAAAAACCGGCAGCAGGAGGCUGCCGAACUUCCUCCAUCUUCACAGCAUCACCGUCGCUGCCACCUUGCGCCACCGACUUCCGCCACCUCCAGCCACCCAUACGGUUGUAGGGGAUCAUUAGCCAGGCGUUCAGACAGAAGAUUAGCUGUGGAUUACAGACGACCUAGCUAGCUUGUUUUUGAUAUCUGCUUACCUGUUUAAGGUAACUAGUGUACUAUUAUUAUCUGUAAGAACCUUGUAUUCAAAUUUAAUGAGGGAAUACAAAUGCAAUUUUGUUUA
Lactuca sativa (garden lettuce) is the source of this 638-nucleotide non-coding RNA. NCBI's taxonomy places the organism in Eukaryota, Viridiplantae, Streptophyta, Magnoliopsida, Asterales, Asteraceae. The record is from RefSeq and is a predicted model, not a curated record.